GCCAACGUCGCAUAAUCUGGUAGUGCGCCGGUCUCGAAAACCGGUUCCUUACGGAAUUCCCGGUUCAAAUCCGGGCGUUGGCG
RNAcentral lists this transfer RNA (83 nucleotides) under Candidatus Woesearchaeota archaeon. Its description in RNAcentral is "tRNA-Ser". It matches the Rfam family "tRNA". Rfam says of the family: Transfer RNA (tRNA) molecules are approximately 80 nucleotides in length. The record is from RNAcentral. Lineage: Archaea; Nanobdellati; Candidatus Woesearchaeota.